UUUUGCGAGAUCUCGCAAAAGUUUCACAUGAAGAAGGUGAGCUUGUGGAAUCAUUGGGGAGGAUUUGGAAGAGUUCCUGCACUCAAGAGAAGUCCCACAAGAGGACA
This is a long non-coding RNA of Thalassophryne amazonica, 107 nucleotides long. RefSeq lists it as uncharacterized. The transcript has 3 exons. Lineage: Eukaryota; Metazoa; Chordata; Actinopteri; Batrachoidiformes; Batrachoididae. The record is from RefSeq and is a predicted model, not a curated record.